CACCAGCGCCACGAGUUGCAACCACAUUUAUUGGGCCUAAAGCGUCCGUAGCCUGAUUGGAAAAUCUCUUGUGAAAUCUUUAAGCUUAACUUAAAGGCGUGCAGGAGACACUACCUUUCUAGGAAUCGGGAAGAGUCAGAGGUAUUCCUGGGGGAGCGGUAAAAUGUUAUAAUCCCAGGAGGACCACCUAUGGCGAAGGCAUCUGACUGGAACGAAUUCGACGGUGAGGGACGAAAGCUAGGGGA
Molecule: ribosomal RNA, 245 nt
Filed under: uncultured archaeon
Lineage: Archaea
Description: partial 16S ribosomal RNA
Rfam family: Archaeal small subunit ribosomal RNA
Source: RNAcentral